Non-coding RNA from Coturnix japonica (Japanese quail), 273 nucleotides. NCBI's taxonomy places the organism in Eukaryota, Metazoa, Chordata, Aves, Galliformes, Phasianidae. The record is from RefSeq and is a predicted model, not a curated record.
UUAAAAGUAUUUGUAACUAUAGAAGCACAGUUGUAUUCACGUGGAGUACUUGUGCACCACCAGAGGAUGACACAGGAUGGUCAGUCAUCAUUGUCCAUGAGGAAAAAGAUAACUGUACUUUAUUGUGUGUCAUCCAAGAUGAGUCUCCAAUUGCAAAGAUCAAAGGUCAUCUCCCAUCUUGCAUAGUGUGGAUUUCAGAUGGAAGAAUGUACUCUAAACACAUUCUGUAGAAGAAUAUAGGACAAUAAACGUUAUGCUUCAAGGGUUCCUGCA